RNAcentral lists this ribosomal RNA (265 nucleotides) under uncultured Glomerella. RNAcentral describes it as "partial large subunit ribosomal RNA". It matches the Rfam family "Eukaryotic large subunit ribosomal RNA", at positions 40 to 309 of the family's 3401-position model. Lineage: Eukaryota; Fungi; Ascomycota; Sordariomycetes; Glomerellales; Glomerellaceae. The record is from RNAcentral.
AUAUCAAUAAGCGGAGGGAGAGAAACCAACAGGGAUUGCCCUAGUAACGGCGAGUGAAGCGGCAACAGCUCAAAUUUGAAAUCUGGCUUCGGCCCGAGUUGUAAUUUGUAGAGGAUGCUUUUUUGGCGCGGUGCCUUCUGAGUUCCCUGGAACGGGACGCCAUAGAGGGUGAGAGCCCCGUAUAGUUGGACACCUAGCCUCUGUAAAGCUCCUUCGACGAGUCGAGUAGUUUGGGAAUGCUGCUCAAAUGGGAGGUAAAUUUCGU